This 497-nucleotide ribosomal RNA is filed under the name uncultured bacterium. RNAcentral's name for it is "partial 16S ribosomal RNA". It matches the Rfam family "Bacterial small subunit ribosomal RNA", at positions 28 to 507 of the family's 1533-position model. The record is from RNAcentral.
GAUGAACGCUGGCGGCGUGCCUAAUACAUGCAAGUCGAGCGAACAGAUGAGGAGCUUGCUCCUCUGACGUUAGCGGCGGACGGGUGAGUAACACGUGGAUAACCUACCUAUAAGACUGGGAUAACUUCGGGAAACCGGAGCUAAUACCGGAUAAUAUAUUGAACCGCAUGGUUCAAUAGUGAAAGACGGUUUUGCUGUCACUUAUAGAUGGAUCCGCGCCGCAUUAGCUAGUUGGUAAGGUAACGGCUUACCAAGGCAACGAUGCGUAGCCGACCUGAGAGGGUGAUCGGCCGCACGGGAGCGGAGACACGGUCCAGACUCCUACGGGAGGCAGCAGUAGGGAAUCGUCCGCAAUGGGCGAAAGCCUGACGGAGCAACGCCGCGUGAGUGAUGAAGGUCUUCGGAGCGUAAAACUCUGUUAUUAGGGAAGAACAGAUGUGUAAGUAACUAUGCACGUCUUGACGGUACCUGAUCAGAAAGCCACGGCUAACUACGUG